Molecule: long non-coding RNA, 957 nt
Organism: Thalassophryne amazonica
Lineage: Eukaryota; Metazoa; Chordata; Actinopteri; Batrachoidiformes; Batrachoididae
Exons: 6
Source: RefSeq, a predicted model, not a curated record
GGAGCUCUCGUAUCUCAGUCUCUGUAAGUUGCCUUAAUGUUGCCUACCUACUCUAUUGUUAAAUUUUGUAUGCCUCACUUUUGAUUUAUCAGCUAUUCAAGGCAGGAAUUAUGUAAUGUGGCUGGUUUCUGUCAUUUUGUCCAGCCCUGUUAGGCCUGAUGAGAACAUACAGCAGAUCUUCUCUCAUACUGAUGAAGUUGAUUUACAUCUUAAUCCCAGUUGUCGAGGUGCAACAACCAAUCCGAGUGCAACCUGAAGUGACCGGAUACCUUGGCCAUGAUGUUAAAUUGCCGUGUCAGUACAUCAGAGAACACAUAAACGCCACUAUUGUUCAGGUUCAGUGGGAUCGCCUGCUGCCUCAAAAGAAGAGGGAGACCAUUGUUGUUUCUCAUCAUGCCGUUUUUGUCCACGACACUUCUCUAAAGAGGAAACUGCAUCUUGAAAACCAAUCUUUGAUUAUAACUAAUCUGGAUAAAGGGGAUGCAGGAUUGUACUUCUGCAAGAUGUCAAUCUUCCCCAGUGGUUAAUUUGAAGGGUCAACCAACCUAAGUGUCCUCAAAAAGAAGCCGUUUCCACCGGAGGUGGUCACUGCUAUAGUGAUUGUUAUCCUGCUGGUCUUAGUCAUUUUAGCAGUCACAGUCUACCUCAUCAUCAUCAUCAAAAAGAGAUGUGAGGCUUUGAGCGGCUCCCAUGUCCGUGUUGGAUGUGGUCUACUCAACAGUCAAGACCAAGCCUUUCAGAAAUGCUCCUCCUUCGUACACUGGAAAACACAUAGAGACUGAGUAUAAUAGUGAAAUACAUUACUCUGAUGUUGUAGUUUUUUGAAGCCCUGUUUGUUGUGAAAGUGUAGGUACACGGACCCACAACAGGGGGCGCAAUGAACGGACAAUGGAGAAAAGCCCGAAGGUAGGAGACGUCCGUCCUAGUUGAACCGGAACCACCCAGAUCUCCUCUGCC